CUCCCUAAUUCUCCUCUUGGCUCCUGCCGUAUCAUCAUCGCUGCGAUGGGACAUAGAAGAACCUCGGUGGGGUGAGGUGCAGCAUGUGUUGAGCCUGCGCGUGUGCAAGGAGGACGGCGCUACACAGAAGCUCGCGGCCCGCCGGAGGAGGACCAGCCGAGAGCUCGGCCUCUCCCAGGGUGCACCUGUGGAGAGUUCAACCUCUUCCCUCUUGGCUCUGGGCGCCCUCUGGUGGCUAGGGGCGGGGCUGCUAGGAGGACGAACUCGGCGCCCCCGUGUCCGAGAUUGUGGCGCGGUCAACCCUCGACUCCAAGUCAAGGGCUGGAUCUGAUGGCGUUGUGCAAUGACGCGUUCGGUGCUCUGAAUUUCGACGUUGUCUGAACGUGCAAGUAGUCACGGAUUGUAUUAAGUCUGGUACAGUGCUAUAUGGAGCAACAUACAUGAUUAUGCAUCCUGAAUUCCUGAUCGAAGUCCGCCAGCACAAGAUAAUAAUUACUCGAAGUUUUCUGUUCUAAAGGUUAUUUUGACUUCAACACAAUUGUGAUUGAGCGGAUUUUACUGCUAUAAGGAAAAGCAUAUGCUAAAAGUGUACGAUUGUUCUCGUAAACCAUAUAUCUGGUACUGAGCUAUUAUUACUUCUGCAAUUAUGCAUGAAGGUAAAAAAUAAUAUUUUUACUAGCAAUUUGAUCCAUAUUAUUAUCCAUUUCCAUCACUAUGCAAUAUUUUGUACUCUACAAAUAUGUCUUUCCUCUGAAUUUACUGAAGUUCAGCUAUGCAUGGCCUGCCAGUUGCAUAUUCUACUUCACAAGGUCAGUAAAGACCAACAUGGUUUAUUCCAUAUAAUGCUUCGUUUUUCUGCAACUCUCUCUUAGUUCCUUUACUUAUGUAGCUAAAGGAAAAAAACAUGAUGCAUUUGCAUGUGUUAAUGCUAAUAGAGAUAAAUAGUUGAAAUAUGUGGAUUGCUACACCAGUAGAAGGUUGGAUAAAUUUUAAUGAAGGAGUUUUUCUCUUGUUCUUAACAUGGGCGAGGCUGGCAUCAUUGGCUCAUGCUAGCAAUUAUGGUGGGAAAUUUCUUUUUCCAGCAAUCAGAAAUCUGUCAACAAAUGUCGUACAUCUUAACAAGGGACCCAUUUAUGUGAAUUUACCCAUAGCUAUAUAUCCCAGCAACUCAAUAGUGGUAUAUCAACUUCAACACUAUUAAUAUGCAUAGAUUGCAUAAAUAUUUCUUCCGUGCUUUAGGUUGCUGCCCAAGAGAGAGCUUAUCUUGCAAACUGUUUCGGUGGGAUAUAGAGGUUCAAACCUUCCAACAUAUUACUACACACCAAAGUCAUGGUCUUUAUCGCUGGAUUAUGCUUCUAUUGGAAAUAACAACAGUAAAGAAAAGUUUCUAAAAACAGGGAAAACUAGAUGCCAUGGAUGAAGGAGGAACCAGGACUAAGCCCGGGUGAUUGUAUGAAGGUUGGGGUAUAGAUGUCGAUUAUGCCAAAUGAGUGAGUUCAUUUAGGGGUUAGAAUUUUGAGUUUCUUUAAGUUGCAAGAUUUUAGUUUGAUAUGAACUGGAUACCACUCAACAAUCAGCACGAACCGUGAGGAGGGAGGGUUACUAUUAUCUUUAAUUCCUGGUCAACUUAAAAACUGCAGAGGUUUUGCAUCACGUGUUAGUCAAGCUACUGGCAUGUUGAGCAAUAUAUGUACGCAUGUCAUGUUAAAUAGUACUCCAUGUAUGUGGGUGUUUUAAAAUAGGAACGGUAGAUGCAUCUCUUUUUGAGAACUUCACUGCAGAAGCCUCCUGGUACUUCGUGGAUUAAAGAAAAUAGGUUGUUACAAUAUUUAAAUAGCAGCCAUUCUGGCCUACAUGGGGAGCAACGCCUUUUACAAGAUAUAAAUAUACAUUACGCAAAAUUCAUGAUGCUCCGACUGUACUCUACAGGUACAUCUCUUAUUAAGUAUGUACAACCAUGAAAAGUAAAAUAUGAUUCAGGCUUAGAGUACUUUGAGGAACUAUACGAAGUGAAAUAAAAUUUCUUUGCCUGAUAGACCCAAUAAGAACUUCUGCUUAUGGAAGCUCUGUGAUCCUAAUGUUGAACAUGUAUUUCAACAUUUAAGGAAGUCUGGCGUUAAAUUAACGUUCUUCCGAUUUUGAUACCUGUCAACAAACACUUCUGCAUGCCUUAAAAUGCGAUCACUGGUUUGAUGCGGUUAUCAUGUCUACUGAGGUAAGUUGACUAAAAUUGCCGCUCCUUCUAUCCGCCAUUUCUGCUGAGGCGAAUUGACUGAUAUUGUCACUCCUUCUACCUACCAUUGAGAUAUGGUUAUAUGUUUAGGUACAUCACUUUCAGUUUCUGUAUAGCUGCAAGUUAGCCUGUUUAUAUGCAGUACAUCAUUAGGUGGAUACGUGAAGUAAGUUGACUAAAAUUGUCACUCCUUCUAUCUGCCAAGUCUCAUGAGGUACAUUGAAUAAUAUUGUCACUCCUACCUAUCGUUGAGAUGGCUUAGAUGUUAAGGUAUAGUGCUCUUUCAGUUACUGUACAGCUAGAUUCGCAAAAAAAAAAUUACUGUACAGCUAUAAGUUAGAAUGCAUGUCUAUAUACAGUACAUCAUUAGGUGGAUGCAGAUGCAAUUUACCGGUGUAAAGUUUGUGAAUAAAAUGUUCAUGGAGAAUCAGUAUUGAGAUUUGUUUCUAUAAUCAUCUACUUUCCCUUCUCAGAACUUCAAGCUGGCAAUACAAUUUACACUACAUCUAUUUAUCUGUUUUCUAAAAGUGAUUAUUAGUAACAAUUUUAUGAUUAGCAAAUCACUCUUUGAUGUGCAUUUGUACACCUCCGAACCUUUGUAGUUCCCACGGAAAAUCUUGUGAUCCUAGUAAACUAUUAGAAAGGUGGAUCAUGAAAACAUCAGAUGAAAGAGAUCGCAGUUUCUUGUUCAUCUACAUAUUUCAAUACAUCCUAGAGUAGCAGAAAUGCACUUGCCAAUGAUAUAUACAUAUUUUCAGGAUCUGUUUUUUCUCGACAAGGGGAACGAAGCCCCAGCCUUUGCAUCAAAGCGAUGCAUACGGGCUUUUUUUCAGGAUCUGUUUGGAACACGACGAUCAGAUGAUUACAUGUAUUGCAUAUCCAGCGAGACAAGGUCCAUCACUCCUCUUCCGUUUGCGCCGAGCUCGCGGGCCUACCGCGAUCCUCCUCCCACAAGUGCCAGAAUCUACGACGAGGAACAUACUGGUCUAUAUUCCAAUCUGAGAAGCACAUGAUAAAACUUACAAUUAUUCCAAGGUACAUUUGGAUAUCUUAAUUUAUAUUGUGCAGCUCUGCAAAUGGAUCAUUUAAUCAUUCAUUACGCGAGAAAACUCCUCCAUGUCUUCAGUAAUUACGGCUGUGAAAAGUAGACCAGAUCAAUGAUGCCAUGAUAAAAAAUGUUCCUGUCCCUCGUACAUAAAACAAGUUAUAUGGCAGAUCUUCUAAACUCUGUGCUCCAGACAAGUAAAGACAUCUAUAUAGAGAAAAAAAUUAGGAAGAUCUUUUGAUUUCCAUGAUGAAAGCUAAAAUAGUGUAACGUUGGCAGAAAGAGAUUGAGUUGGACUGCAUCAUACACAUCGUUCAUACUACCAGAAGCAACCACAAUAAUUCAUAUCAUCCAUUUUCCAAGAUAUAUUUUUACUUUGGUUACAUGUUUUGUUCAACCAUGUGUAGCUAAUACUUAUCAUGAAUGGACAGUAUCUCACAGUGCAUUAUUUAUUUGGAUGAACCGAAUCCAUUUUCUUUGCCCACAAGAUGUAUGUUUUGUUCCAUUACUGAAUAAGCAUAUGUUUAGGUAUCCCUAGAAAAUGAAGAUUUAUUCACAUUAGAAUGAGCUUUUGACAAAUAUAUAGGCAAUUGAGAUGUAUUCUGAAUCUGAUAGAACCGAAGUGCUGAGAAAGGAGUGUUCCAAGUUUAUUUUUCUCACACGGGAAUUCUCUAUCUGGCGUUUUCAGUGUCGCCUCUAGAUUCCACUAAUUUACAUGUCCUAUUUAUUUGUCUAAAAGACAAAAUAAUUACAAACUCAUGUGAAUUACUCACUGAAUGAAUCCUCUCAGUCAUGUUAUAAUUAUAUAUUUCCAUAAUUCCUCUCUGAUUGAUAAGAUAUUUCACAAAGGAUACGACCUUGUACCUUUUGUGAUUUAUCGUGUAAUCGUGUAAAGAAAAAACAUGAGAAUCCGUAGCAACGCACGGGCAUUCAACUAGUUUUCACAAUAUAUGUGUAUUCAGUUACAAAACAAGAAAGCUGUUUCAUAUUUGUUUUAAAGAAAUAUCAAAAUUAAUAGAAAGUAAAAAAAUGCAACCUUUUUUUUGGUCAAGUAUUACGAAAAACCAAUAUCUUUUGUGAUCUAUGUAAAAAAAAGAAAUUUUAUCUUGUGAAAAAACAUUGUUUUUUGCACAUACGCUCAGUACUCACUCUCAUAGUCGCAUCUAGUAUACCAUUUCAUUUUCUAAGCAUACUUGAGUGUAUAUGUAAGCAAUAUAGUUUUAAAAAACCAACCCGGUUGCUGUUAAUAUAAUGUUGAUGAUGUUAUUUUAGAUUUAGAAGAAUAAUUGCAGGGCACCGUAACAUAUGCAAUAUUGAUCUCGCACUGCAGUGCAAUGUUGGCUGUUGAGUUAGCAAAAUGAAAUAUACCAAAAACCAUCCCUUUACAAUCGCGGGAUAAAAACACCACCACCUUUUUUCAAAGAAUAAACACUAGUAGUGAAUUAAUAGGGAAUUUGACAGGUGGGGUCCAUUAGUCAGAGCUUCAGCUUCUAUGGCGAGUUUUUUAUGUGAAAUGGGUUCCACAUGCCAAGGUAAUUAAAAAUCUAAAGAAUCAACAAAAAAUCCCCACCCACCCAUCCUUUCUUGCUCAACCAAGACAACCCGGACCGCCUCCGGUCAACCCAGCGCCGCCAGCUCGGACAACUAUGGCCUGCCGAGAACAGCGCCAACACAAACCGCUCCGCCGAGAAGGUCCCCGCAACCACCAAUUCCCAUAUAUUUUAUGUCUGCCCAAUUGUCGUCGUCUGUUCUAUAUUGCAGAUGUCGCCCCAUUCUCCACCGAGCAGCGCCACUCCGUUAUCCCAUUCUCCACCACCAGCGCCAUGCCUCCCCCCUCUACACCCAGCAGUGUUGCGUCCUUCACCUUGUUCUCCGGCCCGCAUCAUGAUGCCAUAGAUGGCCAUCAUCGGGCAUCCAAGAUAUAACAAUAGUAGCUCCGCUUCCGAGCGGCUUUGGGUUUGGUGACCCGGGGCACCAUGUGGAGGAUUGAUAAAUUUGAAGAGAGGGACAGGAGGAGGACGUUCACGGAAGCUGAUCUCGGUUGCGAGCAGGGGUUGUGGCGGUGGCCCUAGGAUGCAACCAGGAAGGCGCCCAGUAGUCCUCGCCCGCGAGCAGGGGCGCGAUGGCGGUGCUAGGGAAGAGCGACGCCUCCGUGGUGGUGGGGGUGAUGUACUACCGGUGCUGGUGGUAGCCUUGGAUGGGGACGAUUACCCAUUUUUGUGUAUUUUAUUUUUCAGAUUUUUUUUCUAAUUGAGCUAACAUGUGGGACCCAGUCCAUAUUAGCAAGUCCACUAACUGUGUUGUCACCUCAGCCUUGACUAGUGGGUGCCGA
Lolium perenne is the source of this 5610-nucleotide non-coding RNA. The record is from RefSeq and is a predicted model, not a curated record. Lineage: Eukaryota; Viridiplantae; Streptophyta; Magnoliopsida; Poales; Poaceae.